Pocillopora verrucosa is the source of this 503-nucleotide non-coding RNA. The record is from RefSeq and is a predicted model, not a curated record. NCBI's taxonomy places the organism in Eukaryota, Metazoa, Cnidaria, Anthozoa, Scleractinia, Pocilloporidae.
GAUCUUCCGGCUGCUGGCACAAGUAGGAAACAAACAGUUUCUUAUCUGUUAGUUCGAAUUUAAUCUUGUUACGUGUCUCAUCCGCAGCGGUUUUUAAGGUAUCAAUGGCAACCUGCAGACUCUCUGUGAUAUGUAUUAGGGCAGCUUGUUUACUAAAUAUAGUCACCCGACAAAGGCGUAUUCUGUCUUCGACACACGAAGUUAGACGCCAAAGUAGUUGAAGUAGUGGUUGUGUAAAAGACACAGAGCAAUAUCGCAGCGAAUGAAGAGAGCCACAGGAUGCUCCUUAUGGCAUUCUCAGCUUUUCUCCCUCAACAACGUCCUAACGAUUUAGUACGUCACUGUGAAUCUGAGUAAUGUACCUCUUCCAAGCUCGUCAAUUAUGAUAAGUGACAUGUCACUGGCAUUCUAGAAAAACAAUUUAAAUUCCUUGUAAACGUGCAAACUAAAGACUGAAAUGUGGAAACGAAGAUGUACACUCCAUUUAAAAGAAAUGGAAACGC